This is a long non-coding RNA of Apis cerana (Asiatic honeybee), 5331 nucleotides long. RefSeq lists it as uncharacterized. NCBI's taxonomy places the organism in Eukaryota, Metazoa, Arthropoda, Insecta, Hymenoptera, Apidae. The record is from RefSeq and is a predicted model, not a curated record.
UUAAACGUGAAAAGAUAUCUCGAAUUGAAGGCAACGAAUUUCCGCGUCGAAUUCGCUUAAAUCCUCAACGAAAGAACAAAACUCGCGAAUUCCACGAACUUCAGAACCGGCGGAAAACUUCGAGCUCUAAACGGGGGCCCGAUUAUCGAAAGAGAGAACCAAGUAGCGGCUCAAGUACUACUGAAUUCCAUCUAAGAAAUCUGUCCGAUUUAUCCUUCUUGAAGGAAGUAUGAAAAUUUCUGUUUAAGAUUAAUAGAGAGAGCGCAGGUGUCAGCUGCGAGUGACGUUUCGUUUCGACGCGAGCAACCCGGAUUAUUACACGCACCGUACGAAAGGAAAGAACAAUGAACAAUGAUUCCAGCGCGCUGACAGUUCGGAUUUAUAGCUUUACACCAGUAGAUAAUACCAUCUUGUCUUGCUUCCUUUCGGGAGGGAAGGGGAUUGGAAAAUUUCAGUCUUCUGGAAUUCAUCUCACAGCCGAGUUUUCUACAGCUUGAUAACAUCGUUCUUUCCAUUAAAACUUAUUACGUUGGAAUUAUAAACGGGGAAUAAAAAUGGAGAUAUGAUGCGAGUCGGAUAUGUAAAUGAAGGAACGAGAAUGUAAAUAAACUGAGGCUGCAAGACGGAAAUGUAAGUGGAAGUGCAAAGUGAAAGAGUAAGAUUGUAACGCAAUUUCGAGAAAUCGAUCGAAGAAAAAAAAACCAAAACCAAAGGCAGGACGAGUUUUGAGGGAUCACGUUCACGUUCGCCUUGUUCCUUCGCUUACGGGCAAUAUUUGCACGGCCUCGAAAAUUAUUGCCUCACAGAUUCGCUCGUAUAAGCGAUACAAACUAUUUGAAAACGAAUAAAACAUUUUUUUCUUUUUCAUCGUAUUUUAAAGGACUAAAAAUAAAAGGACUAAAGGACGACAAGAAGUAAGGUAGCCUUUUUUAAUAAAGCACGAAAUAUUCGUUUUAAUAUUUCUACCCGUGCUUAUUUAUUUUCUCGUUUUGAGAGACGUAUUCUUCCCAUGUAAAAUCAUCUUGAAUCUUACAUGAAAUCAUUUUUGUAGUUUCUUAAAGAAAUAAUAUUAUACUUUAAUCGAGAUUUGAUAAGAAAAUCUUUGAAUUUGUGUUUCUAUUAUAAUGAUUUUUAUUGAAAGUUUGUCGAUUCGCCAUCUUAUAAUCAUAUACAUUACAUACAAUACAUUUCCCUACGUGUCGUUCGUUUAAGAAUACUUUUUUUCGGGAUACAAAUAUUGACGAAAAUGUUGACUCUUCUUUUCUGCUCACUUUGUUCAUCGCGUAAAAGCUUUAGGGAAUAAACGAUGCGCGUAUAUCAAGCUUUGUAUAUCACCGCGCUCCAUUCUUCGAGAAGAAAAAGAAAAGCCAAAUAAAACAAUUUAUAGUUUGCCAAACACUUGUCGCGACAUCUCGAUGUAGGUCCCUUGCGUCCAACUUAACUUUAAAACUUUCAACCGGAACUUCAAACAGGUGUUUUAUUAAACGGUAAACUUUCUUUCGAUUUAUUUUUAAUAUAACAAUUUUUAAAAAAAAACAAUCUUUUGAUAAAUUGCAAUUAUUUUUUUACAUUCGUUUUAAGCUAGAUUUCAUUAACAAAGAAAUAAUAAAUAUAUACAAAAAUAGCAAAAAAUUAGAAAAUAAAUUUUCUUUAUUACGUUUCGUUAUUUUUUCAAGUUUAUAUAGAAGAAUAUUCUUUUAUAUAUAUAUAUAUGUACAAUUUAUUCUAUUGCGAUUGGACUAUUUGACUUAUUUAUUAUUAAUAUAUUUUCAAUUAGUGAGGAAAUCUAUUUUUAUUUUUACAUUUCUAAAUUUCUGUUUAGCAAUUUCUCUUUAGAUCAAUUGUCUAAGUAUUUGCACUAAAAUUUUCGAAUUAACAAAAUUAAAUGAAUAUAAUUUAAAUCCAGUUAAAUUUCUUUCUUUUCAUUCAUCAUCUAACGAAAUUUAAUCAAAAUUCGAAGUUUUCAUACAAAAAUGUAGCAUUGGAUUUUCAUAAAUAAAAUGAAAUACAUAUAAAAAGACUUCAUCACAAGAACAUUGCACAAAAUAAAAUGUUUACAAACAAGUUUAACAUGAAAGAAGUGACAUGUUUUCGAAGGAGUAGGAUAUAAAAGUUAGAAUACGUUAGAGAAGAUAUUUGUCACAACGGCUGGUGUUUUUGAAACGAAAUCAGUUUCGUAUAGUUGGUCAAAAAAGAAAACACGCGAUAGAGCAAGAACUCAAAGAACUUUCAAAAUUCUUUUAUAAUAUGAAAGGAUUGAAUCAAAGAAACAGAAAUUUUUUCAAGACGAAUAAUUUUUAAAUUUUUGAAAUUUUUGUCUAUACUGAUACUUAUAUUUACUUCAUGAAUAUAUUGAUCGUUUAAAAAUUACAGGCAAAUUAAAUUUUUAAUAUAUUUUGCUUCUAUCUAUUUGAAGGAUUUAGAAAAAAGCAUCAACUUGAAACGAAAUUUAAUAAAAAAAAAUAUAUAUUCUCAACGAUAUUUGAAUUAAGAGAAAUACACGAUUAAUUUUUUGUCAAUGUCUCCUUUCAUUACUUAUUUUCAUAAAUUAAAUUUCUAAAAUUUUCAUAAAUUAAGUCUCUAAAAUUGACACAAUAGUAAAACAUUAAUGAAAUUAAAUGAUAAAUAAUUAUUUUAAAAUAAAAAAAUUUUGAAAAUAAAAAUUUAUAUAGUAGAUUAUUUGAAUUUUUUAAAGAUGUUGAUUUGCCUUUUUUAAUUAAAUGUAAAAGAGAACAUUACUUCUUCUUGAAGUUCAUGUCAAAUAAUGAUAUAAUAGCUAUAUAUAUUUACCUAAUCUAAUGAAAUUGUUUAAUGAAUGCAUAAUUAUCAUGCAACGAUUAUCAAACCAAAGAUUUUAUGUUUUUGCAAGAUUUAGAUCAAUUUUUCUACAAAUAUUAUAUUAUUUACUAGAAAAAAGAAAAAAUGAUUUGUAUCUGACAAGUUGACGUAACGAUCAGAUCAUAAAAUUUAAAACACAAAUAUUUUAUAUGACUCGUUUUGUCGCAGUCUUGAAACUUGGACGAUUUAGUCGUUGAUGUAUGAUUUUAUUACAAAGAAAUCAAUAAUUAAAGUAUAAUAACAAUAUUCAAUUUUAUCCGUUCUCGACAUAAAAUAUAUUUUUUCGCAGCCUCGAACCAAAUAAAAUACAUUAUGCGCUUAGAGAAAGAAACCUUAAUUUCUCCAACAAGGAAUAAAGUUUUUAGCUACGGCCAAGAAGCUACAUGUUCUUGGCUACGCUAUUUCAUGUCCGAUUUUCUCUUGCUUUACAAGCAGAAUCCGGAUUAACGGAUUGAAUAAAUUUCCUUUUUAUAAUGGACUCGGGUUGCUUAACGUUAAACAGAUGGCGUUAUAUUCCACGAAACUGCAACGUUUCGACUUUUUGUCGUUUUAAUGUCGGUUUUAACGUUUUUGCUAAUCCGCCAUUAUUCCGUUCAUAUUUUUUAUUUUAUUUUUCGUUCCAUUCGGAUAUAAACUAUUUAACUAAUUUAUCAAGUAUCAAAUGACUCAUGUUUAAAUUUUUAUUUCGAUUCGAAAAAAAAUUAAAUUUUCGAAUGCACAUAAUUCAUGGCCAGUAAAUGUAACCUAUAUCAUACGAUUAUACAACAAUAUAUGCAUUAUAUACUUCGUUUCACACGAAGCUUCGCUGAAAUUAUUCUUAAAAUCUUAGAUCAUCUUUCAGAUUCACUAACUGCAAAGAUUCCAAGAGCGGUUUGGGGUUUCGCAUUUUCGAAAUUCCCCCAUGCGUUCAUAUUCACCAUCGAUUCGAUUCCAGCGAUAGGCGAAGGGGACAAGAAUCCUUUGGAGUUGUAAACAGAGAUUUGCAUAACGGUCAAAGAGGAUUGAUGUUCCAAGGAGAUCGCGCUAAUACGAUGAAAUGUUUCGCGCAUGGGAAUUCGAAGUUUACAGGUUCCGGAAGGAAUUUCAUCGUCGGUUUGCCGGCGAUCGAUCCGCCGUGGAUUAAUCAGUCAACGGUUAGAGGCGGUAAACUCGAGACGGGUUUGUAUUCGCCAUGCGGUAAACCUAUUAUCAUUUGCAUUGCGAUGUCGUCGUAUUUCCAUGCCGAGAUGGAACAGAAUCUACGAAAUGAUACUCUCUCUGGCUACGUCGAUCGUUUUAACCUAAGCUUCCCUGAAUUUCAUUAAGAUGAACUUCCAUUGCGUGCGAUUUUACGCCUUUUUUUUUUUUUGAUAACUGUUUUCUUCUUUUCGAGAAUUUGUGUUUAAGAAUUUUCGAAAACCGAGCAAAUAUAAUACGCGCGGUAUAAUGCUGUGCGACAAUAAUAAUAACAGUAAUAAUAAUAAUAAUAAUAAUAAUAAUAAUAAUAAUAAUAAUAAUAAUAAUAAUAAUAAUAAUAAUAAUAAUAAUAAUAAUAAUAAUAAUAUAACAGCAGUAAUAAUUGUAGCAAUAGCAACGAUAAUAACAGUAAUGAUAGCAGUAGUUGCUCUUCAUAUGACGAUACAUUAAUUCAUUGAGAAUUAUGUAUGACUUUGUUUAAACAAAAAAAAAAAAAGGAAUAUUUUUUAAUAUUAUUAAAAAGAAAAAGUAGGUAUAAUGUUUUCGUUAUACAUACAAUCGGUUUGUUGUGUAUACUAUUGUAUAUGUAUACUAUUAAGAACAUGAUGUUAUUAUUACAUUGAAUUUCGUCUGUAUGUAUGUAACUGUGGCAACGCAGCAAAUGUGAUUUAAUUAUGACGGCCAGUUGAAAUAUGCUUCACACUGAGUAUCUAUUAUUGUCAUUUCAACUGUUGUAAUUUCAUUGUAAUUUCAAAGGCGAUUUUAUAUUCAUAUUUUAUUUUUAUACUCUGCGAAUUCGAAGAGAAUCAUCUCUGAAAGCAUCUAUAAGAAAAAAUUGUUGAAAAUCAUAAAAAUCAUAAAUAUUUAUCUAUAUUAUAUAUUCUAUCGAUAGAUUUCGUUUUGCUUUAUGUUUUUGUGUUUUUACAUUUUUAUUAUAUAUAAUUGUAAUAUUGUACAUAAAUUUGAAUAUAAAAUUGCUUAAAACGAGAAAAUCGAGCAGUGGAUACUUUUUAGGAUGUAAUAUUGAAACGUGUUUAAUCUAAUAUCAAGAUAAAGAGAGCUCUUUAUCAAUUCACGAGUACACGUUACGAAUAUUUUAACCUGAACAUAUCUCCGAACUGAGUUGAAUCAAUUUUCAAAAUCGUUGAUUUGAAAUCUUUUAUCUUGUAGCCUGGAAAAAUCUUGACGCGAUACAAAACAUGAAUUUCUUUGACGCGUUUCUCGUGUUUAAACGCGUGCUCGUUUUUAUUGAAAUCCAUCUGAAAUCUUUCGGUUCGAGCUUCGAAAAAGAAGUAAAAAAAAAAAAAAAAAAAAAAA